UACCUUGUUGCUUCGGCGGGCCCGCCUUAACUGGCCGCCGGGGGGCUUACGCCCCCGGGCCCGCGCCCGCCGAAGACACCCUCGAACUCUGUCUGAAGAUUGUAGUCUGAGUGAAAAUAUAAAUUAUUUAAAACUUUCAACAACGGAUCUCUUGGUUCCGGCAUCGAUGAAGAACGCAGCGAAAUGCGAUACGUAAUGUGAAUUGCAAAUUCAGUGAAUCAUCGAGUCUUUAAACGCACAUUGCGCCCCCUGGUAUUCCGGGGGGCAUGCCUGUCCGAGCGUCAUUUCUGCCCUCAAGCACGGCUUGUGUGUUGGGCCCCGUCCUCCGAUCCCGGGGGACGGGCCCGAAAGGCAGCGGCGGCACCGCGUCCGGUCCUCCAGCGUAUGGGGCUUUGUCACCCGCUCUGUAGGCCCGGCCGGCGCUUGCCGAUCAACCCAAAUUUUUAUCCAGGUUGACCUCGGAU
RNAcentral lists this ribosomal RNA (464 nucleotides) under uncultured Penicillium. Its description in RNAcentral is "eukaryotic LSU rRNA". The stretch from base 132 to 284 matches the Rfam family "5.8S ribosomal RNA". Lineage: Eukaryota; Fungi; Ascomycota; Eurotiomycetes; Eurotiales; Aspergillaceae. The record is from RNAcentral.